RNAcentral lists this transfer RNA (57 nucleotides) under Salmo salar (Atlantic salmon). It matches the Rfam family "tRNA", at positions 9 to 63 of the family's 71-position model. From Rfam's summary of the family: Transfer RNA (tRNA) molecules are approximately 80 nucleotides in length. Their secondary structure includes four short double-helical elements and three loops (D, anti-codon, and T loops). Further hydrogen bonds mediate the characteristic L-shaped molecular structure. tRNAs have two regions of fundamental functional importance: the anti-codon, which is responsible for specific mRNA codon recognition, and the 3' end, to which the tRNAs corresponding amino acid is attached (by aminoacyl-tRNA synthetases). tRNAs cope with the degeneracy of the genetic code in two manners: having more than one tRNA (with a specific anti-codon) for a particular amino acid; and 'wobble' base-pairing, i.e. permitting non-standard base-pairing at the 3rd anti-codon position. RNAcentral also lists the same sequence under 1 other name. Lineage: Eukaryota; Metazoa; Chordata; Actinopteri; Salmoniformes; Salmonidae. The record is from Rfam by way of RNAcentral.
AGCUCAGUUGGUAGAGGAUGGUGUUUGCAACGCCAGGGUUGUGGGUUCGAUUCCCAC